This is a non-coding RNA of Pan troglodytes (chimpanzee), 117 nucleotides long. It matches the Rfam family "Metazoan signal recognition particle RNA". From Rfam's summary of the family: The signal recognition particle (SRP) is a universally conserved ribonucleoprotein. It is involved in the co-translational targeting of proteins to membranes. The record is from Rfam. Lineage: Eukaryota; Metazoa; Chordata; Mammalia; Primates; Hominidae.
GCCAGGCGUGGUGGCUCACGCCUGUAAUCCCAGCAGUUUGGGAGGCCGAGGCGGGUGGAUCACUUGAGGCCAGGAGUUCGAGACCAGCCUGGCCAACAUGGUGAAACCCCGUUUCUA